This 738-nucleotide ribosomal RNA is filed under the name uncultured soil archaeon. RNAcentral's name for it is "bacterial SSU rRNA". It matches the Rfam family "Archaeal small subunit ribosomal RNA", at positions 4 to 750 of the family's 1478-position model. The record is from RNAcentral.
CUGGUUGAUCCUGCCAGACCCGACUGCUAUCAGAGUGAGAUUAAGCCAUGCGAGUCAACGUAGCAAUACGUGGCACACGGCUCAGUAACACGUAGUCAACAUGCCCAGGGGACGUGGAUAACCUCGGGAAACUGAGGAUAAACCGCGAUAGGUCAUAAUGUCUGGAAUGAUUUAUGGCUAAAAUCUACAUGGCCCCUGGAUUGGACUGCGGCCGAUCAGGCUGUUGGUGAGGUAAUGGCCCACCAAACCUAAAACCGGUACGGGCUCUGAGAGGAGAAGCCCGGAGAUGGGCACUGAGACAAGGGCCCAGGCCCUAUGGGGCGCAGCAGGCGCGAAAACUCUGCAAUAAGCGAAAGCUUGACAGGGUUAUUCUGAGUGAUUUCCGCUAAGGAGAUCUUUUGGCACCUCUAAAAAUGGUGCAGAAUAAGGGGUGGGCAAGCCUGGUGUCAGCCGCCGCGGUAAUACCAGCACCCCGAGUGGUCGGGACGAUUAUUGGGCCUAAAGCAUCCGUAGCCGGUACUGCAAGUCUUCCGUUAAAUCCACCUGCUCAACAGUUGGGCUGCGGGGGAUACUACAGCGCUAGGAGGCGGGAGAGGCAAGCGGUACUCAGUGGGUAGGGGUAAAAUCCACUGAUCCAUUGAAGACCACCAGUGGCGAAGGCGGCUUGCCAGAACGCGCUCGACGGUGAGGGAUGAAAGCUGGGGGAGCAAACCGGAUUAGAUACCCGGGUAGUCCCAG